GACGAACGCUGGCGGCGUGCUUAACACAUGCAAGUCGAGCGGUAAGGCCUUUCGGGGUACCCGAGCGGCGAACGGGUGAGUAACACGUGGGUGAUCUGCCCUGCACUUCGGGAUAAGCCUGGGAAACUGGGUCUAAUACCGGAUAUGACCUCCUAUCGCAUGGUGGGUGGUGGCAAGAUUUAUCGGUGCAGGAUGGGCCCGCGGCCUAUCAGCUUGUUGGUGGGGUAAUGGCCUACCAAGGCGACGACGGGUAGCCGACCUGAGAGGGUGACCGGCCACACUGGGACUGAGACACGGCCCAGACUCGAACGGGAGGCAGCAGUGGGGAAUAUUGCACAAUGGGCGAGAGCCUGAUGCAGAGACGCCGCGUGAGGGAUGACGGCCUUCGGGUUGUAAACCUCUUUCAGCAGGGACGAAGCGAAAGUGACGGUACCUGCAGAAGAAGCACCGGCUAACUACGUG
RNAcentral lists this ribosomal RNA (462 nucleotides) under uncultured bacterium. RNAcentral describes it as "partial 16S ribosomal RNA". It matches the Rfam family "Bacterial small subunit ribosomal RNA", at positions 28 to 507 of the family's 1533-position model. The record is from RNAcentral.